CUAACCUGCCCACUGAUUUAUUAAAGGGCCGCGGUAUACUGACUGUGCAAAGGUAGCAUAAUCAUUUGUCUUUUAAUUGAAGGCUGGAAUGAAUGGUUGAAUGAAGUAUUAACUGUCUCAUUUUUAAAAGUAUAAAAAUUUAAUUUUUUAGUCAAAAAGCUAAAAUAAAUUUAGAGGACGAGAAGACCCUAUAGAUCUUUAUAAUUUAAAUUUAUAAGUAAUUAUGGAAUAAAAAACAAUUUAUAAAAUUAUAUUAUUUAGUUGGGGUGACAGGAAAAUUUAAUAAACUAUUUUUAUAUAAAACCAAUAAUUUUUGAAUAAUUGAUCCUUUAUUAUUGAUUAAAAAAUUAAGUUACCUUAGGGAUAACAGCGUAAUUUUUUUAGAGAGUUCAUAUCGAUAAAAAAGAUUGCGACCUCGAUGUUGAAUUAAAGAU
This 434-nucleotide ribosomal RNA is filed under the name Isostenosmylus morenoi. RNAcentral describes it as "partial large subunit ribosomal RNA". It matches the Rfam family "Archaeal large subunit ribosomal RNA", at positions 1946 to 2614 of the family's 2987-position model. Lineage: Eukaryota; Metazoa; Arthropoda; Insecta; Neuroptera; Osmylidae. The record is from RNAcentral.